GCCUUCGUGGAUCACGGUGAUCGCCCCGUCCGUGUGGAGAUAUAAGUUGGAAGCAUCCAGCGGGGAGGCGGAGGUUCGAUUCCUCCCGAAGGCA
Molecule: non-coding RNA, 94 nt
Organism: Mycena latifolia
Lineage: Eukaryota; Fungi; Basidiomycota; Agaricomycetes; Agaricales; Mycenaceae
Source: the annotation of a GenBank genome assembly